Myotis davidii is the source of this 444-nucleotide long non-coding RNA. RefSeq lists it as uncharacterized. The record is from RefSeq and is a predicted model, not a curated record. Lineage: Eukaryota; Metazoa; Chordata; Mammalia; Chiroptera; Vespertilionidae. The transcript is spliced from 2 exons.
CCUUAGUCUGCAGACCACAACUGAAGCCAAGCACACCUUUCUGAACAUCAGCUAGUUUCAUCAGAUCGUUAGAGCUGAAAGAUGUCCUCUGCCUCUUCAGGAGCCCAGCGACCUAUGGCUCUAGCGCUCUCCAGGGCUCAGCUCUCCAGGAAAACCACAAGUCACUUACAGUGUCUGCUCAGGGCAGGCUGUCCUUCCCCAGCCUGUCAGAGUCGCAGUUAGACCAGAGCUAGCUUGAACAAUUGACAUUCAAAGGAAUUGCCCAGAGGGACUUGACAAUCAGUAAUCAUUCCCUUUCUGACCAGCAGGCUGACUUCUGUCCUUGGUUGAGACUAGUUUAGGCCUUUAUGUAACAUGACUUCACAUUCCUGAACAGCGCACACAUUCCUUAACAUCCUCAUGUUCUGUGAAGUCACCUUGUUAAUGUAAAAACAUUCAAACCUG